Molecule: ribosomal RNA, 93 nt
Filed under: uncultured bacterium
Lineage: Bacteria
Description: partial 16S ribosomal RNA
Rfam family: Bacterial small subunit ribosomal RNA
Source: RNAcentral
CCGCCCGUCACACCAUGGGAGUGGGUUGCACCAGAAGCAGAUAGUCUAACCUUCGGGAGGACGCUUGCCACGGUGUGAUUCAUGACUGGGGUG